This 450-nucleotide ribosomal RNA is filed under the name uncultured Glomeromycotina. RNAcentral describes it as "SSU rRNA". It matches the Rfam family "Eukaryotic small subunit ribosomal RNA", at positions 569 to 1024 of the family's 1831-position model. Lineage: Eukaryota; Fungi; Glomeromycota. The record is from RNAcentral.
AGCAGCCGUGGUAAUUCCAGCUCCAAUAGCGUAUAUUAAAGUUGCUGCAGUUAAAAAGCUCGUAGUUGAAUUUCGGGACCAUCAUGUCGGUCGUGCCUCGGUACGUACUGGCAUUGUUAGUUUCUACCUUCUGACGAACCAUGAUGUCAUUUAUUUGGUGUUAUGGGAAAUCAGGACUGUUACUUUGAAAAAAUUAGAGUGUUUAAAGCAGGCAUUAGCUUGAAUACAUUAGCAUGGAAUAAUGAAAUAGGACGUUCGAACCUAUUUUGUUGGUUUUUAGGAUCAACGUAAUGAUUAAUAGGGAUAGUUGGGGGCAUUAGUAUUCAAUUGUCAGAGGUGAAAUUCUUGGAUUUAUUGAAGACUAACUACUGCGAAAGCAUUUGCCAAGGAUGUUUUCAUUAAUCAAGAACGAAAGUUAGGGGAUCGAAGACGAUCAGAUACCGUCGUAGU